GAGGAAGGGGUGAGAGGGAGAAACCUGCCGCGGCUCUCCGCCUCUUUGUCUGCUCUGGGACUUGGAACAAAAGGGGGAACUCUGAUGAACUCCUUCUCCCGCUCCCUGGACGCCCGGGUAUCUCUUUCUCGCAACUUUGUCAAGGCGACUUUCUCCGCUGUCAGGCUGCGCAAAAGUGUCCCAGCGCUUCGCAGGCUGCAACAAUGGAAACAAUGUUCCUUCAAAGUGGGACGAAGUAGAGGGAGAAGGUGUCGUUGCCAGCAGCUCCAAGUGUCAUAUCAGGCACUUAGCAGAAGUACUUCCUACUGAAAUGCCUUGGGAUUACUCUUAUUGGAAAUAUACCUACCAGCCAGUAGCAUGGAGAUGCCAGGACCCCAGCAAGUUAGCACUGGAUGAAAUACCAUCAACUUCUUCAUUUAGAGUUUCUUCAGAUAAAGUGUUGCGGGUUCUGACAAGGCUCUCAUUAUGUGGAUUAUUGGAGUGUGAUGCCCAGGAAUUCUCUACUUAUAGAAGUAUUCCCACGUGCCUGCAGAAGCCUUCACACCCAGCACGUUCAGAUAUGAAUGAAUGA
This 571-nucleotide long non-coding RNA is filed under the name Rattus norvegicus (Norway rat). RNAcentral's name for it is "long non-coding RNA NONRATT032307". Lineage: Eukaryota; Metazoa; Chordata; Mammalia; Rodentia; Muridae. The record is from RNAcentral.